Molecule: unclassified non-coding RNA, 21 nt
Filed under: Chlamydomonas reinhardtii
Lineage: Eukaryota; Viridiplantae; Chlorophyta; Chlorophyceae; Chlamydomonadales; Chlamydomonadaceae
Description: small RNA Cre_2147
Source: RNAcentral
UAAGGAUCCCCGUAUGUGAGC